GGAGAAAGACAAGCCCAUCCAUCAGCCUGCACCUCUGGGGCCUACGUGGCCCAGAGUUCUCCGAACUCGUCCAGUGUCCACAGCCCAGCAACACGCAUGAGGGCUGAAGAAAGAGAGAAAUACCGUUCCCUGGGACAGCGACGUGGACCAGCCCCACCGAUUCCCUCCCCGCCCGGGUAACUCACUCCAUGCUGUGUCCUUGGCCUCCUCUGACGUUACGAAACCCAACCCUGCGCUUUUUUCUUUGCUGCCUUUUAAAGACAGAAGAACAGCUGACACUUCCCUUUCAGCCGGCACCGUCCUGGCAUGGGGAAAAAGCAGAUGGAGGCAAGUCAAUUGACAUGUUGACAAACCAGUGGAUCGGAAAAUAAAUCUACCCUGAUCAAGUCACAAAAGCACGGGGAAGGAGACGCCGGGGGCAGCGCGAAAUCCCGGGCACGGCUGCCUCCCGCCCCACGCCCAGGACCGGGAAGGGCCACGCAGCUGUGAUGUUUUUCUCUCCAAAGGGAAUUAAUCAUUUCCAGACGCCGGCCCAGCACCUGGUGCCCAAAGCCAUAGGCCUGGGAGCUGUGCAGGUCUUGCAGGCAGACGACACCACUUAGCGGACGCGAUUUCUUCCCUGGUCCCACUGCCUGGUGCGUGCAGAGAAACUACUCCCAAGUGGGAAGUGAGUGGCUUGUUGAGGCUUGGGACAAAGCUCAGGGGUGUCCCAGGUGAACCCCCUUCUCUAAAACAAGCAGGUCCCUCCCUGCUCCGACACUGAAAUGACAUCACGGGGCACUGAGGACGUGAGGCCCGUCCCCGGCUGCUGCAGUGCAGUGCCACCUGCAGGCCGUGUGGCCUGAGCAGGCUGUGCCAUCUCCAGGCCUGCAGUCUCUCGUCUGUAGGAAGAGGAUGAUCAGUAGCCCAGCCUUGGAGGAGCCAUGCUCACCCCGAACGCUUCCACCAGCUCAGGCUGCAUGGUUUCAACAAGAGGAAUUUGUUUCUCAUAGUUCUGGAGGCUGGAAUUCCAAGAUCAAGGGCCUAUGACCAUGUCUGAUGUUCAGGGAAUGAAGAAGUGAAGAAAGCAGGAAUGAAUGAAGGAAGGAAGCAGCCCCAGCAAUUGGUUCCCAGGCGAGAAGCUGGUGGGGUUCUGACUUCUAUCCCGAUUCACACCCUUUUCUCCUGCCCUCAGGGCGGUCCUUCUCCUGCUCUUGUUCAUUCAUCCCCUUCAGCCCUUUCGUAUUCUCUUCUGUAGCCGAACCACAAAAAAUAAAUACAUUAGAAAUGUUUUCCGAGCUCAUCGUGUCAAUUUCUCUGCCCCAGCCCAGUGC
Molecule: long non-coding RNA, 1313 nt
Filed under: Homo sapiens (human)
Lineage: Eukaryota; Metazoa; Chordata; Mammalia; Primates; Hominidae
Description: HSALNT0235241
Source: RNAcentral